RNAcentral lists this transfer RNA (72 nucleotides) under Verrucomicrobium sp. GAS474. It matches the Rfam family "tRNA". Rfam says of the family: Transfer RNA (tRNA) molecules are approximately 80 nucleotides in length. Their secondary structure includes four short double-helical elements and three loops (D, anti-codon, and T loops). Lineage: Bacteria; Pseudomonadati; Verrucomicrobiota; Verrucomicrobiia; Verrucomicrobiales; Verrucomicrobiaceae. The record is from Rfam by way of RNAcentral.
GCGGGUGUAACUCAGUGGUAGAGUGCGACCUUGCCAAGGUCGAUGUCGAGGGUUCGAACCCCUUCACCCGCU